This 757-nucleotide long non-coding RNA is filed under the name Mytilus galloprovincialis (Mediterranean mussel). The record is from RNAcentral. Lineage: Eukaryota; Metazoa; Mollusca; Bivalvia; Mytilida; Mytilidae.
GCUCCCAUGUGUGUAUAACAAUCAAACGACAUAUUCAAUUAGAGUAAGAACAGAAUGGCAAUCGGCUUAGGUGAUGCUUUGUUUAUCACCUGUAUAGGAAUUAUCCUGCUAUUUGCAGUUGUCUGUAACUUCUUGGUAAUUUUCGUGGUAUGGAGGAACAAAAAAAUGAGAAAUGUUACGAAUAUCCUUAUAUGUAAUUUAUCAGUCAGUGAUAUAAUCCAUGCAGGGAUUAUCCUGCCUCAGAAUCUACAUGAUAUAUCCCACGAAGAGGAAUUCCAUGAGUGUAAGAUUAAUAUUGUGGUACUUUAUUAGUUAAGCUCAGUAUUUUUACCUAGAAUUUCAGUAAUUUUUAAAAUCCUCACAGAUACCCAGAUAAAUGUGUACAUUAUACGUGUUUUGUUUUUAACAAAAUACUCAUCAGUUACGCUAAAAUAAAAAAAGUUUAUAAAGAAAAAGAAAUUAAACACACGAAAGAUUUGUAAUUCUAAGAAAAGAUGUCAAUUAUAUGUUGAGUCUCAUAUGUUAUAUGGGUAUUUAUACUGCGUGUUAUACGGGUAUUUAUACUGCAACAGUGGUAUUUCAGAAGUCAUAUUGUAUUGAGUGUAUUAUUAUUUGUUAUAUAUCAACACGGGAAGUAUAGAAAAGUGUCCUUUAAGUUAGCAAUACGUAUCCAUAUUAUAUACAAAUGUGAUAUAUACAGUUGCCAAGGAGUAUUGUUAAAAUAUGCUGUUUCGAAAAAGAAAAAAAAACCUGCAUA